AUUCAACAUGGAACGAGUGGCGGACGGGUGAGUAACACGUGGGUAACCUGCCCUUAAGUGGGGGAUAACAUUUGGAAACAGAUGCUAAUACCGCAUAGAUCCAAGAACCGCAUGGUUCUUGGCUGAAAGAUGGCGUAAGCUAUCGCUUUUGGAUGGACCCGCGGCGUAUUAGCUAGUUGGUGAGGUAAUGGCUCACCAAGGCGAUGAUACGUAGCCGAACUGAGAGGUUGAUCGGCCACAUUGGGACUGAGACACGGCCCAAACUCCUACGGGAGGCAGCAGUAGGGAAUCUUCCACAAUGGACGCAAGUCUGAUGGAGCAACGCCGCGUGAGUGAAGAAGGCUUUCGGGUCGUAAAACUCUGUUGUUGGAGAAGAAUGGUCGGCAGAGUAACUGUUGUCG
RNAcentral lists this ribosomal RNA (401 nucleotides) under Lacticaseibacillus paracasei. RNAcentral describes it as "bacterial SSU rRNA". It matches the Rfam family "Bacterial small subunit ribosomal RNA", at positions 79 to 474 of the family's 1533-position model. The record is from RNAcentral. Lineage: Bacteria; Bacillati; Bacillota; Bacilli; Lactobacillales; Lactobacillaceae.